Molecule: ribosomal RNA, 22 nt
Filed under: Moesziomyces aphidis
Lineage: Eukaryota; Fungi; Basidiomycota; Ustilaginomycetes; Ustilaginales; Ustilaginaceae
Description: partial 18S ribosomal RNA
Source: RNAcentral
AGGGCUGCGGAUGGAUCAUUUC